AAACCAAAGGUAUAUUAUUAUAAAUUUAAACAAUACUUAAUCUAUAUAUAGAUCAGAGGCAUAUUUCAAGGUAUACAAUAGAACAAUACUCUUAGUUGGAAAUAGUCGAGAGUGAAGAAAAGUAAAACUAUCUAACAAAAUGGUUUCGUGUCUUAAUUUCUUUCUUUCUUUGAACUUUGGCAACUUCGCAAAGCGUCUCGUUUCAAGGACUGAUAAAGCUAACACUAAGCCUCAGGCAUCCAAGUCUACAUAUACAAUUGUGGAACGAGACUUUCCACGGGGCCACAAUUAUUAGGAAAAAGGAUUUAUACACUCACACUCCAUAUAAAUUUUAAGAAGAAAGAAAUAUCAGAGUAAUGUGAUAUAUUUAUAAUACAAUGAAAAAUAAAGAUAUAAAUAAGAUAAUGUAUUAAAUGGGUGUUUGAAAAUUAUAAGUGUAUACAUAUGCAGCAACAGGCCUCUCAAUUGUUAUUGUAGGCUUAAUUAGUUUUUGUUUUUGUUUGUUUAGUUCAAUAUGUGUUCGUUGUAUUUUUUAUUUUAUUUUUUUAAAAUUUUUUGCUGUUUGAGAGUUAGUUUUGUAAAAAUAUUUAUCGCAACUUUGCUCUAAGUUCUUUCAAACCAUC
Long non-coding RNA from Cicer arietinum (chickpea), 623 nucleotides. RefSeq lists it as uncharacterized. The record is from RefSeq and is a predicted model, not a curated record. NCBI's taxonomy places the organism in Eukaryota, Viridiplantae, Streptophyta, Magnoliopsida, Fabales, Fabaceae.